GCUCUCGGGUGACGAGCGGCGGACGGGUGAGUAAUGUCUGGGAAACUGCCUGAUGGAGGGGGAUAACUACUGGAAACGGUAGCUAAUACCGCAUAACGUCGCAAGACCAAAGUGGGGGACCUUCGGGCCUCAUGCCAUCAGAUGUGCCCAGAUGGGAUUAGCUAGUAGGUGGGGUAACGGCUCACCUAGGCGACGAUCCCUAGCUGGUCUGAGAGGAUGACCAGCCACACUGGAACUGAGACACGGUCCAGACUCCUACGGGAGGCAGCAGUGGGGAAUAUUGCACAAUGGGCGCAAGCCUGAUGCAGCCAUGCCGCGUGUGUGAAGAAGGCCUUCGGGUUGUAAAGCACUUUCAGCGGGGAGGAAGGCGUUAAGGUUAAUAACCUUGGCGAUUGACGUUACCCGCAGAAGAAGCACCGGCUAACUCCGUGCCAGCAGCCGCGGUAAUACGGAGGGUGCAAGCGUUAAUCGGAAUUACUGGGCGUAAAGCGCACGCAGGCGGUCUGUCAAGUCGGAUGUGAAAUCCCCGGGCUCAACCUGGGAACUGCAUUCGAAACUGGCAGGCUAGAGUCUUGUAGAGGGGGGUAGAAUUCCAGGUGUAGCGGUGAAAUGCGUAGAGAUCUGGAGGAAUACCGGUGGCGAAGGCGGCCCCCUGGACAAAGACUGACGCUCAGGUGCGAAAGCGUGGGGAGCAAACAGGAUUAGAUACCCUGGUAGUCCACGCCGUAAACGAUGUCGAUUUGGAGGUUGUGCCCUUGAGGCGUGGCUUCCGGAGCUAACGCGUUAAAUCGACCGCCUGGGGAGUACGGCCGCAAGGUUAAAACUCAAAUGAAUUGACGGGGGCCCGCACAAGCGGUGGAGCAUGUGGUUUAAUUCGAUGCAACGCGAAGAACCUUACCUGGUCUUGACAUCCACAGAACUUUCCAGAGAUGGAUUGGUGCCUUCGGGAACUGUGAGACAGGUGCUGCAUGGCUGUCGUCAGCUCGUGUUGUGAAAUGUUGGGUUAAGUCCCGCAACGAGCGCAACCCUUAUCCUUUGUUGCCAGCGGUUAGGCCGGGAACUCAAAGGAGACUGCCAGUGAUAAACUGGAGGAAGGUGGGGAUGACGUCAAGUCAUCAUGGCCCUUACGACCAGGGCUACACACGUGCUACAAUGGCAUAUACAAAGAGAAGCGACCUCGCGAGAGCAAGCGGACCUCAUAAAGUAUGUCGUAGUCCGGAUUGGAGUCUGCAACUCGACUCCAUGAAGUCGGAAUCGCUAGUAAUCGUAGAUCAGAAUGCUACGGUGAAUACGUUCCCGGGCCUUGUACACACCGCCCGUCACACCAUGGGAGUGGGUUGCAAAAGAAGU
This 1350-nucleotide ribosomal RNA is filed under the name Klebsiella pneumoniae. Its description in RNAcentral is "bacterial SSU rRNA". It matches the Rfam family "Bacterial small subunit ribosomal RNA", at positions 80 to 1427 of the family's 1533-position model. Lineage: Bacteria; Pseudomonadati; Pseudomonadota; Gammaproteobacteria; Enterobacterales; Enterobacteriaceae. The record is from RNAcentral.